Mycena metata is the source of this 85-nucleotide non-coding RNA. NCBI's taxonomy places the organism in Eukaryota, Fungi, Basidiomycota, Agaricomycetes, Agaricales, Mycenaceae. The record is from the annotation of a GenBank genome assembly.
GGCCGCCUGGCGAAAUGGCAUCGCGUCUGACUACGAUUGUGCCUUCGAAAUCAGGAGAUUGCAGGUUCGACCCCUGCGGUGGUCA